UGGACCCGUGAUCCGGGUUGCGGACAGUGUCUGGUGGGUAGUUUGACUGGGGCGGUCUCCUCCUAAAGAGUAACGGAGGAGCACGAAGGUUGGCUAAUCCUGGUCGGACAUCAGGAGGUUAGUGCAAUGGCAUAAGCCAGCUUGACUGCGAGCGUGACGGCGCGAGCAGGUGCGAAAGCAGGUCAUAGUGAUCCGGUGGUUCUGAAUGGAAGGGCCAUCGCUCAACGGAUAAAAGGUACUCCGGGGAUAACAGGCUGAUACCGCCCAAGAGUUCAUAUCGACGGCGGUGUUUGGCACCUCGAUGUCGGCUCAUCACAUCCUGGGGCUGAAGUAGGUCCCAAGGGUAUGGCUGUUCGCCAUUUAAAGUGGUACGCGAGCUGGGUUUAGAACGUCGUGAGACAGUUCGGUCCCUAUCUGCCGUGGGCGCUGGAGAACUGAGGGGGGCUGCUCCUAGUACGAGAGGACCGGAGUGGACGCAUCACUGGUGUUCGGGUUGUCAUGCCAAUGGCACUGCCCGGUAGCUAAAUGCGGAAGAGAUAAGUGCUGAAAGCAUCUAAGCACGAAACUUGCCCCGAGAUGAGUUCUCCCUGAGACUUAGAGUCUCCUGAAGGAACGUUGAAGACGACGACGUUGAUAGGCCGGGUGUGUAAGCGCAGCGAUGCGUUGAGCUAACCGGUACUAAUGAACCGUGAGGCUUAACCUUACAACGCCGAAG
Molecule: ribosomal RNA, 715 nt
Filed under: Salmonella enterica subsp. enterica serovar Kentucky
Lineage: Bacteria; Pseudomonadati; Pseudomonadota; Gammaproteobacteria; Enterobacterales; Enterobacteriaceae
Description: partial 23S ribosomal RNA
Rfam family: Bacterial large subunit ribosomal RNA
Source: RNAcentral